GAUGAACGCUGGCGGCGUGCCUAAUACAUGCAAGUCGAGCGAACGGACGAGAAGCUUGCUUCUCUGAUGUUAGCGGCGGACGGGUGAGUAACACGUGGAUAACCUACCUAUAAGACUGGGAUAACUUCGGGAAACCGGAGCUAAUACCGGAUAAUAUUUUGAACCGCAUGGUUCAAAAGUGGAAGACGGUCUUGCUGUCACUUAUAGAUGGAUCCGCGCUACAUUAGCUAGUUGGUAAGGUAACGGCUUACCAAGGCAACGAUGCAUAGCCGACCUGAGAGGGUGAUCGGCCACACUGGAACUGAGACACGGUCCAGACUCCUACGGGAGGCAGCAGUAGGGAAUCUUCCGCAAUGGGCGAAAGCCUGACGGAGCAACGCCGCGUGAGUGAUGAAGGUCUUCGGAUCGUAAAACUCUGUUAUUAGGGAAGAACAUAUGUGUAAGUAACUGUGCACAUCUUGACGGUACCUAAUCAGAAAGCCACGGCUAACUACGUG
RNAcentral lists this ribosomal RNA (497 nucleotides) under uncultured bacterium. RNAcentral describes it as "partial 16S ribosomal RNA". It matches the Rfam family "Bacterial small subunit ribosomal RNA", at positions 28 to 507 of the family's 1533-position model. The record is from RNAcentral.